UAACACCGGCACCCCGAGUGGUAGCCACUAUUAUUGGGCCUAAAGCGUUCGUAGCCGGUUUAGUAAAUUCUUGGGUAAAUCGUACAGCUUAACUGUGCGGAUUCCGGGGACACUACUAGACUUGAGACCGGGAGAGAUUAGAGGUACUUGCAGGGGAGCGGUGAAAUGUUGUAAUCCUGCAGGGACCACCAGUGGCGAAGGCGUCUAAUCAUAACGGCUCUGACGGUGAGGAACGAAACCCUGGGGCGCAAACGGGAUUAGAUACCCCGGUAGUCCAGGGCGUAAACGCUGCUGACUUGGUGUUGGAGAUCCUACGAGGGUGUCCAGUGCUGGCGCGAAGGUAUUAAGUCAGCCGCCUGGGGAGUACGGUCGCAAGACUG
RNAcentral lists this ribosomal RNA (380 nucleotides) under uncultured euryarchaeote. RNAcentral describes it as "bacterial SSU rRNA". It matches the Rfam family "Archaeal small subunit ribosomal RNA", at positions 471 to 851 of the family's 1478-position model. The record is from RNAcentral. Lineage: Archaea; Methanobacteriati; Methanobacteriota.